This 103-nucleotide small nuclear RNA is filed under the name Myotis davidii. Lineage: Eukaryota; Metazoa; Chordata; Mammalia; Chiroptera; Vespertilionidae. The record is from RNAcentral.
GCGCUUUGGCAGCACAUAUACUAAAAGUGGAACGAUACAGAGAAAAUCAGCAUGGCCCCUGCGCAAGGAUGACACACAAAUUCAUGAAGCCUUUCAUAUUAAA